CAGGGAUUGCCUUAGUAACUGCGAGUGAAGCGGCAAAAGCUCAAAUUUGAAAUCUGGCGUCUUCGGCGUCCGAGUUGUAAUUUGGAGAGGCAUCUUCGGAAACGGCGCCAUCCUAAGUUCCUUGGAACAGGAUGUCAUAGAGGGUGAGAAUCCCGUGCUUGGAUGGAUGUCCGUUUUCAUGUGAAGUGUCUUCGACGAGUCGAGUUGUUUGGGAAUGCAGCUCAAAAUGGGUGGUAAAUUUCAUCUAAAGCUAAAUAUUGGCGAGAGACCGAUAGCGCACAAGUAGAGUGAUCGAAAGAUGAAAAGCACUUUGAAAAGAGAGUUAAAAAGUACGUGAAAUUGUUGAAAGGGAAGCGCUUGAGACCAGACUCAAUCUUUGGUGAUCAACUGUGCUUCUGUACAGUGCACUUGCCAUUGAUUGGGCCAGCAUCGGUUCUGGCGGUAGGAUAAAAGGUAGAGGAAUGUGGCUCUCUUCGGGGAGUGUUAUAGCCUCUGUCACAAUGCUACCAGCUGGGACCGAGGACCGCGCUUCGGCUAGGAUGCUGGCGUAAUGGUCUUAAGCGACCCGUCUUGAAACACGGACCAAGGAGUCUAACAUCUAUGCGAGUGUUCGGGUGGAAAACCCUUGCGCGUAAUGAAAGUGAACGGAGGUGAGAACCCGCAAGGGUGCAUCAUCGACCGAUCCUGAUGUCUUCGGAAGGAUUUGAGUAAGAGCAUAGCUGUUGGGACCCGAAAGAUGGUGAACUAUGCCUGAAUAGGGUGAAGCCAGAGGAAACUCUGGUGGAGGCUCGCAGCGGUUCUGACGUGCAAAUCGAUCGUCAAAUUUGGGUAUAGGGGCGAAAGACUAAU
RNAcentral lists this ribosomal RNA (849 nucleotides) under Trichophaeopsis bicuspis. Its description in RNAcentral is "partial large subunit ribosomal RNA". It matches the Rfam family "Eukaryotic large subunit ribosomal RNA", at positions 69 to 935 of the family's 3401-position model. The record is from RNAcentral. Lineage: Eukaryota; Fungi; Ascomycota; Pezizomycetes; Pezizales; Pyronemataceae.